This 66-nucleotide transfer RNA is filed under the name Thampoa tiani. Its description in RNAcentral is "tRNA-Ser". It matches the Rfam family "tRNA". From Rfam's summary of the family: Transfer RNA (tRNA) molecules are approximately 80 nucleotides in length. Their secondary structure includes four short double-helical elements and three loops (D, anti-codon, and T loops). Lineage: Eukaryota; Metazoa; Arthropoda; Insecta; Hemiptera; Cicadellidae. The record is from RNAcentral.
AGUUGCUUAGCUUAUUAUAAAGCAAUUACUUUGAAAGUAAUAGAAAGGUUUAAAACUUAGUAUCUU